UACGUAGGUGGCAAGCGUUGUCCGGAUUUACUGGGCGUAAAGAGCGCGCAGGCGGUCGUUCAAGUCGCGUGUGAAAGCCCCCGGCUCAACUGGGGAGGGUCACGCGAUACUGAUCGACUCGAAGGCAGGAGAGGGUAGUGGAAUUCCCGGUGUAGUGGUGAAAUGCGUAGAUAUCGGGAGGAACACCAGUGGCGAAGGCGGCUACCUGGACCGGUUCUGACGCUGAGGCGCGAAAGCCAGGGGAGCAAACGGG
This 253-nucleotide ribosomal RNA is filed under the name uncultured bacterium. Its description in RNAcentral is "partial 16S ribosomal RNA". It matches the Rfam family "Bacterial small subunit ribosomal RNA", at positions 524 to 776 of the family's 1533-position model. The record is from RNAcentral.